Molecule: ribosomal RNA, 468 nt
Filed under: uncultured bacterium
Lineage: Bacteria
Description: partial 16S ribosomal RNA
Rfam family: Bacterial small subunit ribosomal RNA
Source: RNAcentral
GACGAACGCUGGCGGCGUGCUUAACACAUGCGAGUCGAACGGAAAGGCCCUGCUUUUGUGGGGUGCUCGAGUGGCGAACGGGUGAGUAACACGUGAGUAACCUGCCCUUGACUUUGGGAUAACUUCAGGAAACUGGGGCUAAUACCGGAUAGGAGCUCCUGCUGCAUGGUGGGGGUUGGAAAGUUUCGGCGGUUGGGGAUGGACUCGCGGCUUAUCAGCUUGUUGGUGGGGUAGUGGCUUACCAAGGUUUUGACGGGUAGCCGGCCUGAGAGGGUGACCGGCCACAUUGGGACUGAGAUACGGCCCAGACUCCUACGGGAGGCAGCAGUGGGGAAUAUUGCACAAUGGGCGGAAGCCUGAUGCAGCAACGCCGCGUGCGGGAUGACGGCCUUCGGGUUGUAAACCGCUUUCGCCUGUGACGAAGCGUGAGUGACGGUAAUGGGUAAAGAAGCACCGGCUAACUACGUG